This 424-nucleotide ribosomal RNA is filed under the name uncultured bacterium. RNAcentral's name for it is "bacterial SSU rRNA". It matches the Rfam family "Bacterial small subunit ribosomal RNA", at positions 356 to 773 of the family's 1533-position model. The record is from RNAcentral.
AGGGAAUCUUCCGCAAUGGACGAAAGUCUGACGGAGCAACGCCGCGUGAGUGAUGAAGGUUUUCGGAUCGUAAAGCUCUGUUGCCAGGGAAGAACGUCCGUUAGAGUAACUGCUAACGGAGUGACGGUACCUGAGAAGAAAGCCCCGGCUAACUACGUGCCAGCAGCCGCGGUAAUACGUAGGGGGCGAGCGUUGUCCGGAAUUAUUGGGCGUAAAGCGCGCGCAGGCGGCUGUUUAAGUCUGGUGUUUAAUCCUGGGGCUCAACUCCGGGUCGCACUGGAAACUGGAUGGCUUGAGUGCAGAAGAGGAGAGUGGAAUUCCACGUGUAGCGGUGAAAUGCGUAGAGAUGUGGAGGAACACCAGUGGCGAAGGCGGCCUACUGGGCUUUAACUGACGCUGAAGCACGAAAGCAUGGGUAGCAAAC